This 665-nucleotide ribosomal RNA is filed under the name Caryospora sp. SKC-2014e. RNAcentral's name for it is "SSU rRNA". It matches the Rfam family "Eukaryotic small subunit ribosomal RNA", at positions 38 to 702 of the family's 1831-position model. Lineage: Eukaryota; Apicomplexa; Conoidasida; Eucoccidiorida; Eimeriidae. The record is from RNAcentral.
CAAAGAUUAAGCCAUGCAUGUCUAAGUAUAAGCUUUUAUACGGCGAAACUGCGAAUGGCUCAUUAAAACAGUUAUAGUUUAUUUGAUGGUCUCUUUUACAUGGAUAACCAUGGUAAUUCUAUGGCUAAUACAUGCGCAAUCGCCUCCUUCUUUGGAGGGGCUGUGUUUAUUAGAUACAAAACCAACCCACUUUGUGGAGUCGUGGUGAUUCAUAGUAACCAAACGGAUCGCAAUUUGGCCUUCGGCCGGCGAUAUAUCAUUCAAGUUUCUGACCUAUCAGCUUUCGACGGUAGGGUAUUGGCCUACCGUGGCAGUGACGGGUAACGGGGAAUUAGGGUUCGAUUCCGGAGAGGGAGCCUGAGAAACGGCUACCACAUCUAAGGAAGGCAGCAGGCGCGCAAAUUACCCAAUGAAAACAGUUUCGAGGUAGUGACGAGAAAUAACAAUACAGGGCAUUUAAUGCUUUGUAAUUGGAAUGAUGGGAAUGUAAAACCCUCUCAGAGUAACAAUUGGAGGGCAAGUCUGGUGCCAGCAGCCGCGGUAAUUCCAGCUCCAAUAGCGUAUAUUAGAGUUGUUGCAGUUAAAAAGCUCGUAGUUGGAUUUCUGUCGUGGUCGUCCGGUACCGCCCGUAUGGGUGUGCACCAGGUUUGAGCUCGGCUUUCUUC